RNAcentral lists this ribosomal RNA (669 nucleotides) under Triticum aestivum (bread wheat). RNAcentral's name for it is "partial small subunit ribosomal RNA". Lineage: Eukaryota; Viridiplantae; Streptophyta; Magnoliopsida; Poales; Poaceae. The record is from RNAcentral.
AUGCGGAUUAAUGGCACUACCAUGUCUGCCCUAGCAAAUCACUUUGAAUCGAUUUCAGGGGCUAUAACAAUACGUGCCUUUGAGGAACAAGAUCGUUUCUUUGCUCAAAAUUUGGAGCUAGUCGACAAGAAUGCUAGUCCAUACUUUUAUAAUUCUGCAGCUACUGAAUGGUUGAUUCAGCGCCUGGAAACAAUGAGUGCUGCGGUUCUUUCUUUUUCUGCCUUUGUCAUGGUUCUUCUUUUUCCAGGAACUUUUAGCCCCGGUUUUGUUGGAAUGGCAUUCUCUUAUGGUCUUUCCCUAAAUAAUACUCUUGUUAACUCUAUUCAAAGGCAAUGCAGCCUUGCGAAUCAAAUAAUAUCUGUGGAAAGGGUGAACCACUACAUGGACAUACAAAGUGAACCAGAAGUUAUUGAAGAAAACCGUCCGGCACCAGAUUGGCCCCAAGUUGGCUGUGUGGAGCUUAGAGAUUUGAAGAUUAGGUACAGGGAAGACGCACCCCUUGUACUACAUGGUAUCACUUGCAAGUUUGAAGGUGGAGACAAGAUUGGUAUAGUUGGUCGAACAGGAAGUGGCAAGACAACUUUAAUUGGUGCAUUGUUCCGCCUUGUUGAACCUGCUGGAGGGAAAAUAAGUAUUGACUGUGGACAUCACUACGAUAGGCUUACAUGA